GCCUCGCUAGCUCAAUUGGUUAGAGCACCCGCCUUCUACGAUUAAUUCAGGUGAUAGCGGGAGGUUGCGGGUUCGACCCCCGCGUGGGGCU
Molecule: transfer RNA, 91 nt
Filed under: Mycoemilia scoparia
Lineage: Eukaryota; Fungi; Kickxellomycota; Kickxellomycetes; Kickxellales; Kickxellaceae
Rfam family: tRNA
About the family: Transfer RNA (tRNA) molecules are approximately 80 nucleotides in length.
Source: Rfam by way of RNAcentral